UUCUUUGAUGCGCACGGAAGGGUUCGAACCUCCGACCAAGAACAAUCGGUUCGAACCGAGCGUAGCGAGCUCAAUGGCACGCAGUGCCAUCCCGCAGGGCAAGCGCCGUAGGCGCGCAGUAAUCCUUCCGGGCGCGCCA
RNAcentral lists this small RNA (139 nucleotides) under Gammaproteobacteria bacterium HGW-Gammaproteobacteria-8. Its description in RNAcentral is "RtT sRNA". It matches the Rfam family "RtT RNA". From Rfam's summary of the family: This family represents a bacterial cis-regulatory element known as RtT RNA. The exact function of RtT is unknown although it is thought that it may be involved in changing the cellular response in relation to amino acid starvation. Lineage: Bacteria; Pseudomonadati; Pseudomonadota; Gammaproteobacteria. The record is from RNAcentral.